UACGGAGGGGGCUAGCGUUGUUCGGAAUUACUGGGCGUAAAGCGCGCGUAGGCGGACCUGCAAGUCGGGGGUGAAAGCCCGAGGCUCAACCUCGGAACUGCCUUCGAUACUGCGGGUCUCGAGUCCGGGGGAGGUGAGUGGAAUUCCUAGUGUAGAGGUGAAAUUCGUAGAUAUUAGGAAGAACACCAGUGGCGAAGGCGGCUCACUGGCUCGGUACUGACGCUGAGGCGCGAAAGCGUGGGGAGCAAACAGG
Molecule: ribosomal RNA, 253 nt
Filed under: uncultured bacterium
Lineage: Bacteria
Description: partial 16S ribosomal RNA
Rfam family: Bacterial small subunit ribosomal RNA
Source: RNAcentral